This 450-nucleotide ribosomal RNA is filed under the name uncultured bacterium. Its description in RNAcentral is "partial 16S ribosomal RNA". It matches the Rfam family "Bacterial small subunit ribosomal RNA", at positions 354 to 796 of the family's 1533-position model. The record is from RNAcentral.
UUGGGGAAUCUUCCGCAAUGGACGAAAGUCUGACGGAGCGACGCCGCGUGAGUGAAGAAGGCCUUCGGGUCAUAAAGCUCUGUCAUCAGGGACGAACGGCCGCUGGAGUGGAAAGCCACCGGAUUGACGGUACCUGAGAAGGAAGCCACGGCUAACUACGUGCCAGAAGCCGCGGUAAUACGUAGGUGGCAAGCGUUGUCCGGUAAUAUUGGGCGUAAAGCGCGCGCAGGUGGGAUCUUAAGUCCCUGUUUAAAGUUCGGAGCUCGAGUCCGUGAUGGGAUGGAAACUGGGAUUCUUGAGUGCCGGAGAGGAAAGCGGAAUUCCCCGUGUAGCGGUGAAAUGCGUAGAUAUGGGGAGGAACACCAGUGGCGAAGGCGGCUUUCUGGACGGUGUCUGACACUGAGGCGCGAAAGCCAGGGGAGCGAACGGGAUUAGAAACCCGGGUAGUCC